Molecule: non-coding RNA, 273 nt
Organism: Peromyscus maniculatus bairdii (prairie deer mouse)
Lineage: Eukaryota; Metazoa; Chordata; Mammalia; Rodentia; Cricetidae
Source: RefSeq, a predicted model, not a curated record
AACUCAUCCAUCAUUUUGUGAAAUUGCUAAAGAAGAAAAUUGGAUAAGACACAGCAGAGAAAGAUUAUGAAUUUGCUAAUCUCCAGAGCAAGCACUGCAACAAUAUACCCUAAUCCAUAUAGCCAGCACACUCCCUCCCUGUAGGAGCCAUGCUGAAAUUGUCUGCUCAGCCUGGAUUGGAAGAUGAUCAUAGUAGGUUCAAAGUGAAAGUGAAUGGCAGAGAUCCCCCACAUACCUCCACCAUGCCCAUCACAACCCUCCAUUAUCCCUGCU